GACGAACGCUGGCGGCGUGCUUAACACAUGCAAGUCGAACGGAAAGGCCCCUUUGGGGGUACUCGAGUGGCGAACGGGGGAGUAACACGUGAGUAACCUGCCCUUGACUUCGGGAUAACUUCAGGAAACUGGGGCUAAUACCGGAUAGGAAUCCUUGCUGCAUGGUGGGGGUUGGAAAGCUUCGGCGGCUUUGGAUGGACUCGCGGCUUAUCAGCUUGUUGGUGGGGUAGUGGCUUACCAAGGCUCUGACGGGUAGCCGGCCUGAGGGGGCGACCGGCCACACUGGGACUGAGGUACGGCCCAGGCUCCUACGGGAGGCAGCUGUGGGGAAUAUUGCACAAUGGGCGGAGGCCUGAUGCAGCAGCGCCGCGUGCGGGAUGACGGCCUUCGGGUUGUAAAACGCUUUCAGCAGGGGCGAAGCUUGUGGUGACGGUACCUGCAGAAGAAGCACCGGCUAACUACGUG
RNAcentral lists this ribosomal RNA (465 nucleotides) under uncultured bacterium. Its description in RNAcentral is "partial 16S ribosomal RNA". It matches the Rfam family "Bacterial small subunit ribosomal RNA", at positions 28 to 507 of the family's 1533-position model. The record is from RNAcentral.